Molecule: long non-coding RNA, 7719 nt
Filed under: Marmota monax (woodchuck)
Lineage: Eukaryota; Metazoa; Chordata; Mammalia; Rodentia; Sciuridae
Source: RNAcentral
UAGCAGUGCCGGGCAUCCAUCUGUCUGUGUUUAAUUGGGGCCUUUAAGAAGCUUGCCCUGCAGGACCCCCGACAGGAAGGCAUGCGGUAAGGAGUACUCGAUGAGGAUGAUGUCGAUUACUCCUGCUGGAGGUACUUGAGUUUAUUCAUUUACUGAUUUACUCAGACAACAGAUAUGUAUUGAGUACCUACUACACGUGGGGCCCAGGCUUGGUGCAGGAGAUAUACUAGUGAGGAAAACAGUGGAUCCUGUUCUUAUGCACAUUACAGUUUGAUGGGGGGGGGGGGGAACAGACAUUAUUGAAAUGCUCAAGAUAAUAAAAUAACCAAUUUGUGGUAAGUGAUCCAGAGGAAGGGUAAAUACAAGCCAAAUAAGACUACAGACACAAGACAAGGUAACUCAAGGCCGAAGGCCUGCAUAAACAGGCACUAAGUUCUGUGAAGAUGACAUAGAAAUUGUCUAAGCUGUUUAAAAAGUCUGUUAGUUUACUACACAUAUUUGUGGCAGUCUUAAAAUCACCCCUUUCUUUGCAGUCACCAACAGAUGAAGUAGCAAACAGAUACAGAAAAAGUGGCCCUUUUGUCUCCCACUAAAUGUUACCCUUCAGCUCAAGGUGGGAAUUGGUUCCACACUUUCUCUCCUCGAUGGCUUUCCUUCUUCUAACUUCUCUUUUUCAAAAUGCGGGAAUUGCAUCAAAAGCUGUACAGAAUCUCGGACUUAAAUUCCCCAAGCAUUGUUUUCUUUGUACCAGUUUCCUUUGCUAGAAAGCACAAGAAGCUUCGCUUUAAGCUGAUGUUCUAAUUUCUCACCUGCCAUUCAAGGAUCUCAUGACAUCCUACAACCUCCUUUCAGUCCUGUCUCCCAUAGCCCCUGUAGGCCAAGGAGAAUACCACCUACCACCUCGAGAACAGACAUUGCAUGUCUCCUUCCCUGCUUCUGAUCCAGAUUGUAGCUUAUGCCAUUCCAGGCAUCCCAAGUGGCUUUCCCUCUUGUCAGUAAAUGAUGCCUUCCUUAAAGCAAAAUCACCAAGAUACAUAGGCGAUACAAAUAGAUAAAUGGUGGUUUGUUUUAAACAUUCUUACUUGGCAAAAAUAAAAGAUUUCUAUUCCUAUAUUGGUCUUCCCAUUACAAAGAUUUUAUUACACCAAUCUCUCAGACUGUAGAGUCGGGGAAGCAUGACCCAAUGAAGAAGUGCCCUUUGAAGAGUCUGGCCUGGCUCUCCUUGGGAAAGAAAAUCCGCCCACAUCUGGGUGACUGUCCUCCUUCUGAUGUUCUAGACCUUCAGGAUGUCAAAGCGCCCUUUCACCUGUUUGUCAGGCUUGCCCUUAGAGUUCUGGUUUCCUUUCUAGGGACCUACACUUCUUCUGGCCAUUGACUGGAAAGACAGGUCUACCCACAGGGAUGUGGUCUCAGGCUGUAGCCUCAAUGGAACAACCACAUUGAAUUGUGAUAAUGUGGUAGAUAAAUUAUCACUGCAUGUCAUGGUGGCAAUAGAGUUUUGAAAUAUCCAAACAGGCUGCCUCUAUUUUAAUUUUUCUAUACCGACUCUCUCUGCUACUUCUCCAGGGAGGCUGAGAAUUGUUUCAGAAGGCAUGCAAAGAUCGAAGAGUCAAAGAAAGAGGAGUCGGGGAAGCAAACUAUCUGCUUCUAAAUAGGAUUGGCUUCUCAGCCAGAAAGUAGCUUUCAAAGCUAGGCUUUCUAAGACACAGAGAGAAAUGUUCUAGGUUUAUGUACCCCUUUUGUUUGCAUAUCAAGAGCCACCUUAAUCAGGGAGAUUUAUGAAGGGAAGUCCUGAAAUAGAUGGGAAGAGAAAGAAUAAAACCCACCCCAUCCAGCCUAGUGAUCUGUCUGGGAAAGAAGGAGGAGAGAGGGGAUAGGCCAGCUCUGAGAGGUGAGUCUCAUCUCACCUACUGAUCCUCAGCCACAGGAGAAUGGGUGAGUGUGUGGGGAAAGGCAAAGGCUUGAAGACCUCGACUCUGGGACUUGGGAGUUCCCCUUCCUGUUACCUGGCACCACCCUGGGAGUGACUGCAGCAUGGUUUUGCAGGGACAAGGGCUGAAUAUAAUUUCCAGGCUGCUCACUGAUCACUAUAGAAUAGACUGGACCCAGGAGUUCCCCCCUGCACCAAAGUAGAGGCCAACAGGCCUCCAUGCAUUGGCCAUCCUGAGGGAAAGGUGAGUCAGCAAGGUCAGGGGCCAACAUUCUAGGGAGGAGCCAGUUGGAGGACGCAGGGUCUGGAGCAGCCUCAGACCAGGGACCCAGGCAUCAGGGAACACAAGCAGACCCUUCCAAGCCAAGUGGCCCAGAAGACAGAUAUGAUGGCUACAGCCUUAACAGUAGGUACACACAAAACUCUCAGGGAUGGGACCAGUCUCACCCUCAAAGGCUCAACCAGGGAGCAUCCACACCGCCCACCACAGCACCCAUCAGAGGAAUGCAGAAGAUACUGAAUGGCUCUGAGGAUCCUGUCUUUGUCUCUACACAGUCCAUCAGCCCAAACUCCAUAGCAGACCCAGACACCAUCUCCAAAAUACAGAAAAAGAGGAUGGAAAAAUCUAAAAGUCUAAGCAUUUUUUUUCCUUUUCUUUUUUUCUACCUAAAGAGAUGGACCAUUUACCUAACUUGUUUGUUUAAAUUGUUUCAUCCAACUGUUUCCCCUCUAUUCAGUGGCUGGAAGCUCAGAGGAAGAGAAGAACAAUUUUAGAGAAAUGAAGAUGCUACAUCUUCUUGCACAUCUGUGAGCAGCCUGAAAAAAAAUCUGUAGCUCAUAUGCAAGUGCUGGAGCCUUUCCAGGCCUCCUCCCCACUGCUAAAUUGGGUGCUGCCUGGGCUGCUCCGUUCCUCCCACCCACCCACACACAACUGCACAGAAGAGCUCGCAGGGUCCAGGCCGGAUCUGUGGGACUUUAUAUGCAAAAUCAAGAGAAUGAGAGGAGUAGAAAUGGCAAAGCCACACAGGUAGAUUCUAAGGGGCAAGAAUAAAAUACAAGCUUCUCUUUUUAAGUGGCGGUAGCAAGCAAGGGACAUGAUGUGUCCAGAGGCGUCUAGAGGCAGUGGGAGGACAGAGAUAAAGGAAGGAAAGGGCAUUUCUCUGGGGAAAGAGAACACGGGGUCCUGGCAUUGCUGGAUAGUAGAAGAAAUAAGAAGAAAAGUAUUUUAACAAAGGCUGCCCUAAGUUACCUACGUGGGUCUCAUUUACAUUCCUUGAGAUUUAAGAGUAGAAUUCCCAUCAAGACCAAUGACCCUGCCAUUACACAGAUGCAUUAAUACAGAGCAGGGAUGCUCAAAUGGGCGUGGCUUUGUCUCCCAGAGGCCUUCUGGCAACAACAUUUGUGAUUGUCACAGCUGGGAGAUGCUAGUGGCAUCUAGAAAGUAGAGGCCAGGGAUACUGCUGAGCACCCAGUAAUGCAUAGGACAGUUCCUGACAACGAAGAGGUAUCCCAGCCAAAAUGUCAGCAGUGCCUACUCAAGAAAUCACGUGUGAGAAAAAUGGAGGAAGGGACAGUUGCUUCCUUACAUCAAGCCUUUCUAAUGACAAAAUAAAAGCUUUUUUUCCCUUUAAACAUUCUCUUUUUUAUUUUUCCACAUUUGUGAAAGUAGCACCACAUACCUAAUAGUGAUCUCUGCUGAAUCAUAGAAAUUAAUUUCCUAAAAAUCUUAAAAGGUUGGAGAAUUCCUGUUGAACAAUUCCAGCUCCUUCCUUCUGGAAACUUCUUUGCUCAACCCUACGUUUCCAACUUUAUGAAAGGCCCUUAUAAAUGUUUUUUUUAUUUUCAAUAUGGAAAUAUAAAACUAGCAUGCCAAGUAAAAUAGCUGUCACAUUUGAGACAUGACCACAGUGAGUAAUCAUGGCUACUCUCCAUCCUUUGUUCAUUGCUGGAGGAUCCUCCCAAUCUAGCUCUCUUCCACUCCACCCCUCCCCACGCUUUCACAGAGGUACUAACAAAUGUGUUCAGCUUUGUUGCAGAUAAGACGCCCAUCAAGAAGGAAUAUUUGGGAUACCCGUGUUGAGAGAUGGUGGUAUAUUUGGUUUUUCAUCCAAAUGCUUUAUUUAAUGUCUUGUGGGCUUUGAGUCCCACCACCCCAGCCUCCUUCCCAUCAGCCCUCCCUGCUCCGGUCUCAGGUCCUUCUCAGUGCACAGACAACCUCAGGCUUCAGCCCUAAGAAUCUGCCUUGUGUGGCUUAAAACAACAACAGGACAAAUUCCAUGAGGGAAUAUUUACAUUUUGGUGGAUGUUUUGGUUUGAUCAUUCAAAAUAGGCCAUUAGCUUCUCAAAAUUUUGUGGCUUUAUAAAUCCUUGUCUUUUCUUUGAAAUUUCAUCCUAUAUUUAUGAACUAAAUACCAACAUUAUUAGAACUGGAUAAAAUGCAACUUAUUAAAAAAAAAAUCCUUCUGCAAGUCACAAGAGGUGAGGGGCUCAUUUCCUCAUUACAUUCCUGAUCACAUUCUCUCUUAGGAGGCAGCAGCCUCAAAGAGGGCCACCCACAGUCCUGGUCUGGAAGGUCAAUUGAGGAGGUCCCCUUCUUUGGGUCCUCAACUGUGAGGGCCAAGAUAAUGAGCUGGGCUGUUCCAGACCUCUGUAUGUAUCCGUAGGGACAUACCAAGCACCCAGAGGCAGGACACGGUGCUAGAAGGAGGUCGAUAGCAAGUUUGGUCCUAGCACCAGGGCCACCAAAGGUAACGGGCUUCAGAUGCCUCUGCCUGCCUUUUGGUGUCUCUUCCUCCAGGAGCAGCAAAUGGCAGGCAGGGCCGCAUGUGAUGACUCAAGACCACUGUCCAUCCUGUGACUUAUGAAUGAACCACUUGGACUACAAGAGAUGGGUUCAUAGUAUCAGCACACAAUGCGCAGAAGUCCCACUUGUAACAGGGAGGAGCAUGCUCUUGGCUUUCAUCACCGACAGAUGGUGGCUUAAACAAAUAAGCAUUUGAUUUUUUUCUCUCUCUCAUAACCAAAACGCUGCAAGAAUGCAGUCCAAAGCCGGUACAGGGGCUCAAGCCUUCAGAGGCAGGAAUCCCUUGGUCUUUUUGUCACGAUCCCAAGAUGGCUGUUGAAUUUACAGGCAUUUGUCCAUGUUCACUGAAGGCAGGAGCACAGCAAAAAGGUCCAGUGGCUGCUGAUUAAGAGAACGGAGACGGAAGGGGUAGACUGGAGAAUGGAAUGGUGGGGUCCUAAUCUAUAAUUCUGAAGGUCAUGGUGAUUCAUAUUAUGGGGAUUGCUCACAGACCCUCUCCUCUGAAAUGCCUUUUUAAAAAAAUCUUUUAUUGAUUUUAUUUUUUUUUAAAUACACAACAGCAGUGGAAUGCAUUACAAUUCUGGAUGGCAUGAUCAAGAAUAAAAGUUUAUUUCAUCUCUGUAAAAAAAAAAAAAAAAGGUCCAGUGGCAGGCUCAUCUGUCUCUUCUAUCAGGGAAAGCUAAAAUCUUUUGGAAGCACAAUCUGGACUCUCACUGAGCCAUAUAAUUCAACCUAGGGCCAGAAAUCAGUAUUAGCUUGACUGACCUCUCUAGUGGAGGCAGCAAGGGAGGAGGCUGGGAAUAUCUGUUGAUUUAACCAUAGUAUAAAGGUCUUCUCUGUUUCCAGCCUGGAGUCUUAGAGUAGCUUAGACUUGAUAUAGAAAACAGAGCUGAGCUGAUUUUUCUGGGUCUAUGCAGUACUGCUUUGAACCUAGAAAUGGGAAGAUGGCCACUCUUGCCAGCUCUGUUGACACUUGGAAGUACCGUUGGUCCUGAAGGGUGAUGUUCUUGGCUUGGUCCUUGACAUUCUCAUAGAAGAUGUCAUAGUUCCUCUUUCUCCCUUUGCAGGCAUGGACCAAGAAAAGGCCGUUAGAGGACACAGUGAGGAGGCAGCCAUCAGCAAGCCAGGAAGAGAGACCUCACCGGAGACCAAAUCAACCAGCACCUUGGAAUUUCUGGGUUCAUGAUGUUAAUAGGAGUUCAUUGGUAGCCACAGGCUGAUUUGGCUACUUGGGGAUUUGAUAGUAAUAACAAAUAUGAAAACAUCUCGCAACUUUGAGAUCAGUUUUCCCAGCUUCCACAACAACCCACAAACAACUGAAGAGGUUUAUAUCCAGGCUAUUUCUAGACCACAGCAAGCAAAUCCCUGAGCUGCUGCUCUCCUUGGAGAUCUCCGCCAAAAAAGAGCUGCUUGGGACACGAGGCCCAGCCUAGGGUGAGGGCUGCAAACCCCAGGCCGUGCCUCUUUCCCUGUCUCCUUCCUCAUCUGACUUCUGAGAUAUUGCACCCACCCUUUCAGCAAACCCCGGCCUCAGCCCAGCUGGUUGUGUGGUUUUCUCUAGUUUCCCUGUGGGGCUUUAAACUCAGAAUUCUGGGCUCAGUUUUAGCCGCUUCUGUGAAUGGGCCACCUCAUGCAUCUGCUCAUUCAUUCCUUCAUCAGAUGUUUUGUAAGUGGCUUCCAGUCUUCUGCUUUCUGUGGCCUAGGGAGGCAAAGACGAAUAGAAUGCUGUCCAGUCUGAGAAUCUCACAGGCAGGUGAACAAACAGGAACAAUAGAUGUGGUAUACUACAGUGAACAUAUGUAUAUAUAUGUACCAUAGCGGCCCUAAUGGAGAAGAGGCUAGUUCUAUGGGGUGAAUUCAGGAGGUGAACCUUGGGCGUUAAAUGUAUUGACAUGUGUUCAAGUGAAUUUAGGCAAUAUUAUUGCAAGAUAAGUAGACAUGUUGGUGUGGUGGGCAGAGUUUGCCUGGUCCAUGGAUACUGACGCCCUUUCUUUCUCACAAGAGAACACUAAUUUGGUUGAGACCUCUUGUUGCUUCAUGGUUUUCUCAAGAAAGAGGGUCCAUCCUCAAUCCCAGGGGUAUUAAUGUUGAUUAAACUAAGAUAAUUAUAUAUUCAUAAAGAUUGUAAGACUUAACAAGAUGAUACCUGCUCAGGGUGAGAGAAAGCAUGGUGGUAGUGAUUUCCUAGAAAUCUGUCUGGGAAAUAUUUUCCAACCUAAAAGAAAAAGACAUUAAAAAAAAAAUACUCCUUCUUACCACUGGAUAUUGAGAUUGUGGUGCUACAGCAGCCAUUUUGUGCCAAUAAGGCAAAACCCAAGAAAAUUGCAAAGAUGCUAACCUUAUCAUCGUCACGCUGCUGAAUUCCUGGGGGAGUUCUUUUUCUCCUCCCUACUAAGGACAUUUUUCAACAUUUCAAAAAUUGUGGUAAAUAAAUAUAAAAUGAAACUUGUCAUCUUAACUUUUUUAAAGUAUAGAGUUCAGUGAUAUUAAGUGCAUUUAUAUUGUUGUACAACCAUCACCACUAUCCAUCUAAGAACUCUUUCCAUCUUGCAAAACUGAAACUCUGUACCCAUCAAACAAUAGCUCCCCAUUCCUCUCUCUCUUUGGGUCCCUGUCAGCCACCAUUCUACUUCUGACUGUAUGAAUUUGAAUCAAACAGUUUUUGUCUUCUUGUGACUGACUUAUUUCACCUAACAUAAAGUCCUUGAGGUUAUUCAUGCUGUAGCAUGUGUCAGAAUUUCCUUCCUGUUUAAGGGUGAAUAAUAUUCCAUUGCUUGUCUAUACCACAUUUUGUUUUUCCAUUUGUCUGUUGAUGGACACUUGGUUAUUUCCACCUUUUGGCUAUUAUGAAUAACACUGCUAUGAACAUGAGUGUGCAAAUAUCUCUUCAAUACCCCAAUUUUCCAUGUUUUAGGGUAUCUACCCAGAAGUGGAAUUGUUGGAUCAUGUGGUGAUUCUAUUAUUUUUUUAGUAACAUAAAUAAAGA